This 429-nucleotide ribosomal RNA is filed under the name Bacteroidota bacterium. Its description in RNAcentral is "Bacteroidetes bacterium partial 16S ribosomal RNA". It matches the Rfam family "Bacterial small subunit ribosomal RNA", at positions 355 to 776 of the family's 1533-position model. The record is from RNAcentral. Lineage: Bacteria; Pseudomonadati; Bacteroidota.
UAGGGAAUCUUCCGCAAUGGACGCAAGUCUGACGGAGCAACGCCGCGUGAGUGAAGAAGGAUUUCGGUUCGUAAAACUCUGUUGUUAGAGAAGAACAGCGCAUAGAGUAACUGUUAUGCGUGUGACGGUAUCUAACCAGAAAGCCACGGCUAACUACGUGCCAGCAGCCGCGGUAAUACGUAGGUGGCAAGCGUUGUCCGGAUUUAUUGGGCGUAAAGCGAGCGCAGGCGGUCAAUUAGGUCUGAUGUGAAAGCCCCCGGCUCAACCGGGGAGGGUCAUUGGAAACUGGUUGACUUGAGUGCAGAAGAGGAGGGUGGAAUUCCAUGUGUAGCGGUGAAAUGCGUAGAUAUAUGGAGGAACACCAGUGGCGAAGGCGACUCUCUGGUCUGUAACUGACGCUGAGGCUCGAAAGCGUGGGUAGCAAACAGG